RNAcentral lists this ribosomal RNA (639 nucleotides) under Cortinarius sp. EH41. RNAcentral describes it as "eukaryotic LSU rRNA". It matches the Rfam family "Eukaryotic large subunit ribosomal RNA", at positions 1 to 623 of the family's 3401-position model. Lineage: Eukaryota; Fungi; Basidiomycota; Agaricomycetes; Agaricales; Cortinariaceae. RNAcentral also lists the same sequence under 1 other name. The record is from RNAcentral.
GUGACCUCAAAUCAGGUAGGACUACCCGCUGAACUUAAGCAUAUCAAUAAGCGGAGGAAAAGAAACUAACAAGGAUUCCCCUAGUAACUGCGAGUGAAGCGGGAAAAGCUCAAAUUUAAAAUCUGUCAGUCUUUGACUGUCCGAGUUGUAAUCUAGAGAAGUGUUAUCCGCGCUGGACCGUGUACAAGUCUCCUGGAAUGGAGCGUCAUAGAGGGUGAGAAUCCCGUCUUUGACACGGACUGCCAGGGCUUUGUGAUGCGCUCUCAAAGAGUCGAGUUGUUUGGGAAUGCAGCUCAAAAUGGGUGGUAAAUUCCAUCUAAAGCUAAAUAUUGGCGAGAGACCGAUAGCGAACAAGUACCGUGAGGGAAAGAUGAAAAGAACUUUGGAAAGAGAGUUAAACAGUACGUGAAAUUGCUGAAAGGGAAACGCUUGAAGUCAGUCGCGUUGUCCAGGGAUCAACCUUGCUUUUGCUUGGUGUACUUUCUGGUUGACGGGUCAGCAUCAAUUUUGACUGUUGGAAAAAGAUCAAGGGAAUGUGGCAUCUUUAGAUGUGUUAUAGCCCUUGGUUGCAUACAAUGGUUGGGAUUGAGGAACUCAGCACGCCGCAAGGCCGGGAUAUUAUCCACGUACGUGCUAGGA